UACAACUUUCAGCAACGGAUCUCUUGCGUCUCGCAUCGAUGAAGAACGCAGCGAAAUGCGAUAAGUAAUGUGAAUUGCAGAAUUCAGUGAAUCAUCGAAUCUUGAACGCAUCUUGCGC
RNAcentral lists this ribosomal RNA (118 nucleotides) under Amanita virosa (European destroying angel). RNAcentral's name for it is "partial 5.8S ribosomal RNA". It matches the Rfam family "5.8S ribosomal RNA", at positions 1 to 116 of the family's 154-position model. From Rfam's summary of the family: 5.8S ribosomal RNA (5.8S rRNA) is a component of the large subunit of the eukaryotic ribosome. It is transcribed by RNA polymerase I as part of the 45S precursor that also contains 18S and 28S rRNA. Lineage: Eukaryota; Fungi; Basidiomycota; Agaricomycetes; Agaricales; Amanitaceae. The record is from RNAcentral.